Long non-coding RNA from Symsagittifera roscoffensis, 956 nucleotides. RefSeq lists it as uncharacterized. The transcript is spliced from 3 exons. NCBI's taxonomy places the organism in Eukaryota, Metazoa, Xenacoelomorpha, Acoela, Convolutidae. The record is from RefSeq and is a predicted model, not a curated record.
CGCUAUAACUGACGUUUUAAAGUCAAUUUUGUGGUUUGCCCUACUAAUAAUUCACCUGCUUAUCUUAAUUUUAUGAGCUUGCUUACUAUAAGUCCAAGAUUUGUCACAUACGCUUGUAAAUGAAGCAUUAGGUCCGAUUCUUUAGGUCCAUUUGCAUGACAUUCAUCCUUUGUCUCGACCCUUGUUACAAAAUUUAUCCAACUUUCAUUUGAUAAUGAACAUUUUAUUUCUCUUGAGUAAUUUUGGAAUUCGCCCAUUGGCUUUAUUUUCGCUUAUUUUGAUUGAAAACGGUGUAUGUUACUUUGACUUUAAAAAUGGCACAACUGAGUCAAUGGACGUCAUAGCGGGACAGAAACCUUUUGACAACUGUGAGGAUGUCUGCCCGGAAGGUGAAAAGAUGAAAAAGAUCAAGGACUGUGAAAUAGAGAAGCCCAAUGGUUGUGGUCCCGAGGGUCUUCCUGAUUUCAUACUCGAUGUUUCUGACUUGAUGACGACUGAAUCCACGCAGAGAUGCUGUGAGGAACAUGACAUGUGUUACUCGGCUUGUCGCUCUGAAUUUACUAAAUGCGAGAAAGAAUUCAGAUUCCUUGAUACCAGAGAAUGUCUGGCGGGAGUAGACGACACGCUGUCGUGGGUCACGGAUGCUGCUGGUUGCAAGUACUUCAAAAGAGCACAGAACAUGGGCUGCAGAUGUCACAAUGAGUCAUCAACUCUGUCGGAAUUAGACGGAGUGUGUCCAUAAAUUUGAGCCUCAGAUAACAUAAUUCAACCUAGAGAAAAACCUCCAAACAACCUAUUUGGCUCUUUCCCAGUUUCCCAACCCAUCAAAAACUACAAAAUAAAGCUGUUCCAAAUUUGUUCACUUGACAUUUUGCAUGUAAGUUUUAUUGUAGAAACUUGUUCACCUGUGCACACUGACGCGUUUUAAGCAGUUUAUAACUUGAAAAUCUUUUUGA